UCCUACGGGGGGCAGCAGUGAGGAAUAUUGGUCAAUGGCCGGAAGGCUGAACCAGCCAAGUCGCGUGAGGGAAUAAGGCCCUAUGGGUCGUAAACCUCUUUUGUCAGGGAGCAAAGGCGUCCACGUGUGGACGAGAGGAGAGUACCUGAAGAAAAAGCAUCGGCUAACUCCGUGCCAGCAGCCGCGGUAAUACGGAGGAUGCGAGCGUUAUCCGGAUUUAUUGGGUUUAAAGGGUGCGCAGGCGGCCUGUUAAGACAGCGGUAAAAGCCCGGGGCUCAACCCCGGCGAGCCGUUGAAACUGGCGG
RNAcentral lists this ribosomal RNA (305 nucleotides) under uncultured bacterium. Its description in RNAcentral is "bacterial SSU rRNA". It matches the Rfam family "Bacterial small subunit ribosomal RNA", at positions 337 to 639 of the family's 1533-position model. The record is from RNAcentral.